RNAcentral lists this unclassified non-coding RNA (3752 nucleotides) under Hevea brasiliensis (rubber tree). Lineage: Eukaryota; Viridiplantae; Streptophyta; Magnoliopsida; Malpighiales; Euphorbiaceae. The record is from RNAcentral.
UUUAUCUUUUUGUUUUAUGACUUUUUCUUCCUCAAUUUUUUCCCUCUUGUAACAGAACUCCUCUUUUAGGUCUUAUCCCCAAAUAAGGCCUUGACAUCACCUUUAGCCCUAGCCCUAGCUUUUAGGUCCAAUUAGGGUUUUUGAUUUCCAAGCUCAAAACUUGAAUAGGAAGCUCGAAACUUUGAAGCUCAAGCCCAUUAGCUUCGUCUUCCACCUCUGGUUUCUGUUCUGUUGCAGAAAUUCGAUUUUUUUUUUAAAUUCGGAUUUUCGGAAGUUUAAAAAAUAUAAUUCUGAAUUUGUUUUCGCGGGCGGAUUUUCUGUAGUUUGUUUGAUUUACUUAACUACAGAUCUGUUAAUCGAGGAUUAUGACUUCUAUGGAUAUGGACUCGCCGACAACCCCUAUUUUGGCCAUUACUCCUGUAAUGCUUCCUGAUAACAAUGAAGAGCCCAUUUCUGAGGAGCAGCCCAAUAAACGCAGAAGAAAGAAGUCGAUUGUUUGGGAACACUUCACUAUAGAAACUGUUGGUCCUGGUUGUAUGAGGGCAUGCUGCAAGCAGUGCAAGAAAUCAUUUGCUUAUAUAACUGGUUCAAAGCUAGCAGGGACCAGCCACCUUAAGCGACACAUUGCCUUGGGGAUCUGUCCAGUAAGCCGUCAGAAAAAUGAAGCAUCCCAAAUGACAUCAGGUGUGAAAACUGAUCCACCUAGAAGACGCUACCGAGCAACUCCUGGAGUUGGAAGCAUUCCCUUUGAUCAGGAUCGUUGCAACCAUGAGAUAGCUAAGAUGAUUAUACAGCAUGAAUAUCCACUCCACAUGGUGGAACAUCCUGCCUUCAUUGAUUUUGUCCGAACUCUUCAACCCCAGUUCAAUAUGGCGAGUUUCAACACCAUUCAAGGAGAAUGUGUGGCAAUGUACCUGAGGGAAAAGCAACACCUUUUGAAUCUUAUCAGUGGGAUUCCUGGACGAGUCAGCCUUACUUUGGAUUUAGCGACUUCAAACCUUAAUAUUGGCUAUGCUUUUCUAGCAGGACACUUCAUUGAUGAUGAUUGGAAUUUGCAUCGCUUGGUCCUUAAUGUUGUCAUGCUUCCUUUUCCUGAUUCGGAUUAUGCCUUUAAUCAGGCUGUUGUGUCUUGCAUAUCUGAUUGGAACUUGGAGAGCAGGCUAUUUACCCUUACCCUUGAUCAACCCUUUUCAAAUGAAAACAUAAUUGUAAAUCUCAGAGGCCUGUUGUCUGUCAAGAACCCACUUUUGUUCAAUGGUCAAUUAUUGAAAGGGAAUUGCUAUGCUCGUGUUUUAAGUCGUCUUGCACAAGAUGCACUUGGAGCAAUGGGGGAAGUUAUCAGGAGAAUCCGUGAAAGUGUGAAGUAUGUGAAAACCUCAGAAACACAUGAUGAGAAGUUUAAUGAGCUGAGGCAACAACUUCAAGUCCCUAGCACAAAAGAGCUCAUCAUUGACGAUCAAACCAAAUGGAGCACUACUUACCAAAUGCUGGUGGCUGCUUGUGAAUUAAAGGAAGUAUUUGCCUGCUUGGAUACCUCUGACCCUGUUUACAAGAUAAACCCAUCAAUGGAUGAUUGGAAGCAGGUGGAAAUUCUGUGCACAUACUUGAAGCUUUUCUAUGAUGCAGCUUGCAUUUUAACUGCCCCAACAUAUCCUCCUGCCAAUGCAUUUUAUCAUGAAGUGUCCAAGGUCCAGCUAGAGCUGACACAUGCAGCCAUGAGCCAGGACCCAUUUGUCAGCACCCUAACCAAACCUUUGAAAGAGAAGUUUGAUCAAUAUUGGAGGGACUGCUUCCUUGUUUUGGCAAUUGCUGUUGUCAUGGAUCCGAGAUUUAAAAUGAAACUUGUUGAGUUCAGUUUUUCUAGGAUCUUUGGUGAGGAUGCUGGUAUGUGGGUCAAGUUUGUUGAUGAUGGGAUUCAUGAACUCUUUCGGGAAUAUCUUGCACCAAAUCUUUCUGUAUCGACUUCUUUUAUGGAAGCAGAGGAUAUGGGCAUCCCUCAAUCAGAGAUACUUCAAGAAGUACCCCCUAAAGAAGUAGCACCCCAGGAAGCACACUUUGAAGUACCCCUUCAAUUGGAUAACCCUGCAAAUGCAUCUCCACAAGAAGUCCACUCUCAAGGAGCAGCCUUUCAAGAUGUAAAGCCUGAAGAAGCAACUCCCCAAGUGCACUCUAAAGAUGAACCUCCACAAGAUGCAUCUCAUCAAAUGAUGUACCAUCUUGAAGAAGCUGAACAAAAGGUGCACCCUCAGGAAGUAUCAAUGCGAGAGAUGCAGACUCAGGAAAUACCAGUACAGGAGAUGGACACUCGAGAAAUACCAGUGCAGGAGAUGCGUGCUCAAGAAGCAUCAGUGCCAGAGAUGCAUGCUCAAGAAACACCAGUGCAGGAGAUUCCCUCUCAAGAAGCACCAGCGCAUCAAGAAAUACCAUUGCAAGAUGCAGACACUCAAGAAGUACCUGCUCAAGAGAUGCAUGCUCAUGAAGUGCCUGCUGAAGAGAUGCACACUCGAGAAGUACCAUCUCAAGAUAUGCAUGCUGAAGAAGUUCUGUCUCAAGAGAUGCAUUCUAAAGAAGUAUGUAACCAAGAGGUGCACCCUCAAGAAGUGGUGGCUCAAGAGGAGCACCAUCAAGAAGUGGUGACUCAGGAGAAGCACCAUCAAGAAGUGGUGGCUCAAGAAGAGCACCGUCAAGAAGUGGUGACUCAGGAGAUACACCCUCCAGAAGCACAGACCCAGGAGAUGCAUCCUCCAGAAUGUCAGACCCAGGAGAUGCAGAAUCCAGAAUCACAGACCCAGGAAAUGCACUCUCCAGAAGCAGAGACCCAGGCGAUGCACCCUCCGGAAGCACAGACGCAUGAGGUACACCUUCAAGAAGAAGCACAGACCCAUGAGAUGCACUUUCCAGAAGAGCAGACUCAUGACAUGCACCUUCAAGAAGCAGAGACUCAUGAUGUGCACUCUCAAGAAGUACAUGCUCAUGUAAUGCACCUUCAAGAAACAGAGACUCACAGGAUUCACCCUCAAGAAGCAGAGACCCAUGAGACUCUGCAUCAAGAAGUAAUGAGUCAAGAGAUGCAUCCUCAACAAGUAGAAACUCAAGAGAUGCACCAUCAGGAGUUAUCCCAAGAGAUGCACCAUCAUGAGCUCUCACGAGAGAUACAGCCUUAUGAAGGGCACCAUCAAGAUUUACCUAUGCUUUCUAUUGGGGAUGGGCUUUCUGAUUUUGAUGUGUAUAUAUCUGAGAUUUCAAGUAGCCAACACAUGAAAUCAGAAUUGGAUCAGUAUCUCGAGGAGUCUCUCUUGCCUCGGGUACAAGAAUUUGAUGUGUUAGGUUGGUGGAAACUAAACAAACUGAAGUACCCAACUCUCUCUAAGAUGGCUGCUGAUAUUUUGUCAAUCCCAAUUUCUACUGUUCCUUCUGAUUCUGUAUUUGACACUGGAAGUAAAAGGAUAGAUAGCUACCGGAGUUCACUGCGACCUGUUACACUUGAAGCCCUUAUUUGUGCUAAGGAUUGGCUUCAAUAUGGAUCAUCAGCAUCAUCAUUGGAGAAUUCUAAUGCAAUUGUGAAAAUGGAAUAUUAGUUAUAUAGGAUUCAGUUUACAUCCUAUAGCGUAGAUAUUUUGACUUGGAUUUAGGCUUGUGAUUUUUGUUUUGUAUUUUUUGUUUCUGCCCUUAUCAUGAGAUGCUAUUGUCUGGAUUUUGUUUUUACUUCUAAAGGAAUUGUGUUAAUCUUGAAUUCAGGAAUCAUUUGUGAA